Molecule: transfer RNA, 72 nt
Organism: Ovis aries (sheep)
Lineage: Eukaryota; Metazoa; Chordata; Mammalia; Artiodactyla; Bovidae
Rfam family: tRNA
About the family: Transfer RNA (tRNA) molecules are approximately 80 nucleotides in length. Their secondary structure includes four short double-helical elements and three loops (D, anti-codon, and T loops).
Source: Rfam
UCCCUGGUGACCCAGUGGUUAGGACUCUGCACUUCCACUUCAGCAUCUCAGGUUCAAUCCCUGGUCGGGGAA